This 315-nucleotide small nuclear RNA is filed under the name Sorex araneus (European shrew). Its description in RNAcentral is "7SK RNA (ENSSARG00000015373.1)". It matches the Rfam family "7SK RNA". Rfam says of the family: 7SK was discovered as an abundant small nuclear RNA in the mid-70s but a possible function has only recently been suggested. The record is from RNAcentral. Lineage: Eukaryota; Metazoa; Chordata; Mammalia; Eulipotyphla; Soricidae.
GGAUGUGAGGGCGAUCUGGCUGCGACAUCUGUCACCCCAUUGAUUGCCAGGGUUGAUUCGGCUAAUCUGGCUGGCUAGGCGGGUGUCCCCUUCCUCCUUCACCACUCCAUGUUCGACCCUCCCGAAGCUGCGCGCUUGGUCGAAGAGGACGGCCUUCCCCAAAUAGAGACAGACCGGUCUUCGGUUGAGGGUAUACGAGUAGCUGCGCUCCCCUGCUAGAACCUCCAAACAAGCUCUCAAACUGGUAUGUGUGGGCUGCAUAUUAGCCCCCCCCACUGUAAUAUCUCCUUCCACACUUCAUUUAUUUCUUUAGGA